GACGGGGGGAUGCAAGCGUUAUCCGGAAUGAUUGGGCGUAAAGGGUCCGCAGGUGGCCCGGUCAGUCCGCUGUCAAAGCCUGGGGGCUCAACCCUGGAGAGGCGGCGGAGACCACCGGGCUUGAGUCCGGUAGGGGCAGAGGGAAUUCCCGGUGGAGCGGUGAAAUGCGUAGAUAUUGGGAGGAACACCAGUGGCGAAGGCGGCUCACUGGACCGGAACUGACGCUGAGGCGCGAAAGCGUGGGGAGCAAACGGG
This 255-nucleotide ribosomal RNA is filed under the name uncultured bacterium. RNAcentral describes it as "partial 16S ribosomal RNA". It matches the Rfam family "Bacterial small subunit ribosomal RNA", at positions 524 to 776 of the family's 1533-position model. The record is from RNAcentral.